ACUGGAGCGGAGCGCGGAGCGGCCGAGGUGCAUGCUGGGAGGCGUAGUCUCUCCGGCGGCUCAGGUCGUUGGGUAACGGGCGUGGAAACAGGUGGGAAGAAGUAUCGGAUUAACACGUCUGCUGCAGGGUAUAGUCUAAUCCGAAUUGGCAUAGGAAGGGGGGCGCGCGGCGGGCGUCCUCCGUGGGGUAGCAGUAGAUGCUUCCUCUGCAGAGACUAAGAGCCUGAGGUCUGAGCAGAGCAAUCGCUGCUUCAAAUCUCAUUCUGACUGGUAAUCGUUUCAAAAUAACCGGGGUGAGCAAAGUAGACGGGGGAUGUAGAUGCUUGAUUAAGAUUUUGUUAGCAUACCUGGAAGGGGUCAGGGCUUUUUCUUCAUGUUUUGUAAAUAAACACUGGGGGUGGGCAUGCAAACUGCUUGUUGGUUUAAUAUGUCUAUGGACAUAUCUCAGCUUAUCAUUUAUAUUUAUUUUUUCUAGAAACUCUUCUAAUCUUGAACAUUACAAAAAACGAAAACAGCAGCAGUUUCUUGGUAAUUUACACUGAAAUCCUGGCCAUGUGUACUCAGCAGUAAAUCCUUUUUAAUUCAAUUAAGCUUAUUCCCUGGUAAAAGGAGUUUAGGACUGCAUCCAUUAUUUUGUGUAAACAUUACUGGUUUAAAACACAGCUAGAUUGUUCUUUUCCUCAAGUCGGGCUGAAGGUAGUUUGUGGGGAAAGUGUAUUGAAAUGCAGUAUUUCAUAAGGAAUAAUAAUAAUACUCUGGGCGGCUCCCAACAGAAUAUUAAAAACAUGAUAAGGAAAACAACAGGGCAGAUAUGGAUUGUGGCAAACGUCAUGUGUACACUGCUUCCCAAGCCACUGUUGGGAGCACACUGGGUGCAGAGUAAACAAGGGUGUGUACCCAGCUGUCAUUUCCCAGUGUUACAGUUAGACCAGCCUACCUGACUGGCACAUGUACAGCUUUAAGAAUCCCACUAUAAAAUCGCAGGCACCUUGCAGAUUUGUUUUGAAAAGCAUCUCUGUCGCACACAUGGUGCCUCUCACAUCUCCAUAAAAGAGCUUCUAAGCCCCACAGAACAAGCGGCCUCUCACAGAAUUGUAUACAACAAGGCACCCCACUGCUCCAUGGCAGUAAAAACAAAAGAACACCCAAGUGCCAGACGCUAUCAAACACCUCAAAAUGCUUCUAGGAUAGCCAUGCCUAGGAUGGAUAUUCCCUGCAAUAUCAUAGUUCUGUAAAACAUUACCUUCUACAUAUAUCCCAUUGCACAAGUACCCCUAAAAUGGCAGAAGCACUUUACAACCUGCGUUAUAGCAUGCCAUUAAAUUGAGUACAGUCUCUUCUAAUUGGCAACAACUCUCUUCCGAGGUCUCAAGCACACACAGUCUUUUCUAGCCUUGCUACCUCGAGUCCUUGAACAAGUAGCUCCAGGUAUUGAACCUGGGAACUUAUACAUAUCAGCCCCAGCCAGCAUGACCCGUGGUCAGGGAUGAUGGAAGCAAUAGCAAAAUCUUGAAGGUACCAAGUUAGCUACCCUGUAUGCCAGGAAUAGAGAACCUGUGACCUUCCAAAUGUUGUUGGACUCCAACUCCCAUCUGCCCCUGCCAGCAUGGCCAACGGACAGGGAUGAUGGGAGAGAGAGUUAGGGUUGCCACCCGUCCCUAGAAAUAUGUGAUUGUCCUUUUGGGGGAGAAAAGUGCCCCCUGCCCUGUUUGGACGGGAUGCCUUUUUUCAUGCAUUCAAGCUCAUUCUCAUCCUCAAAACUGUGCGAGCAGAGGGUGGGUCCGAU
Non-coding RNA from Podarcis lilfordi (Lilford's wall lizard), 1786 nucleotides. NCBI's taxonomy places the organism in Eukaryota, Metazoa, Chordata, Lepidosauria, Squamata, Lacertidae. The record is from the annotation of a GenBank genome assembly.